AGCGAACGCUGGCGGCAGGCUUAACACAUGCAAGUCGAGCGCCGUAGCAAUACGGAGCGGCAGACGGGUGAGUAACACGUGGGAACGUACCUUUUGGUUCGGAACAACACAGGGAAACUUGUGCUAAUACCGGAUAAGCCCUUACGGGGAAAGAUUUAUCGCCGAAAGAUCGGCCCGCGUCUGAUUAGCUAGUUGGUGAGGUAACGGCUCACCAAGGCGACGAUCAGUAGCUGGUCUGAGAGGAUGAUCAGCCACACUGGGACUGAGACACGGCCCAGACUCCUACGGGAGGCAGCAGUGGGGAAUAUUGGACAAUGGGCGCAAGCCUGAUCCAGCCAUGCCGCGUGAGUGAUGAAGGCCCUAGGGUUGUAAAGCUCUUUUGUGCGGGAAGAUAAUGACUGUACCGCAAGAAUAAGCCCCGGCUAACUUCGUGCCAGCCGCCGCCGUAAU
RNAcentral lists this ribosomal RNA (450 nucleotides) under uncultured bacterium. RNAcentral describes it as "bacterial SSU rRNA". It matches the Rfam family "Bacterial small subunit ribosomal RNA", at positions 29 to 524 of the family's 1533-position model. The record is from RNAcentral.